GCCGCGCUCUAGAGGCCUUGCAGGUGUGGCUGCUGUGUCACGUGUGUAUCAGUAGGUGGCAGAAAGAGAGGCCAUGUCUACACACAGUGUUAUGACCUGUGAACAUCUGAAUGGUUAGGAGCUGAACAUA
Molecule: small nucleolar RNA, 130 nt
Organism: Acomys russatus (golden spiny mouse)
Lineage: Eukaryota; Metazoa; Chordata; Mammalia; Rodentia; Muridae
Product: small nucleolar RNA SNORA17
Exons: 1
Source: RefSeq, a predicted model, not a curated record